Pundamilia nyererei is the source of this 571-nucleotide long non-coding RNA. RefSeq lists it as uncharacterized. Lineage: Eukaryota; Metazoa; Chordata; Actinopteri; Cichliformes; Cichlidae. The record is from RefSeq and is a predicted model, not a curated record. The transcript has 3 exons.
AUCCCCAGUGGUGCCAGUCCCUGGUGUUGGACAGGUGGGGCAGGGGCUGCAGAACAGCUGGGGACUGGAGGAGGAUGAUGAAGAUGACUAUGAAGAGGAAAAAAAUCACAACAGUGGUGACGAGCAAGUGGAAGAAGUGACAAAGAUGGACGUGGGCGAAGGAGAUGUGGUUGAGAUAUCAGACAGUGAAGAGGAGGAUGUGGUCAUACUAAACCCUGAGGUGCCAGAAAAACCAAAAAAUACAGGCUCCAAGUCUCACCAGAAGGGGGCAGCAGCAUCCAAGAAACGGCAAAAAAAAUGAGGAACUACUGCAGAUGGGGAUUUGUUCCAAAAUGUCAAAACGUUUUAUUAUAAACACUGAGCUGGAUUUCAACGAGUCCCACCUGAAGUGACUGCAGCUCAGAAACAAAACAUUAACUUGAUGUUUGUAACUGUUUCAAACAAAUGUACAAAAAGGGAAAAUGUUAAAAGAUAGUUCAUCUGUGCACACCAGACUUUUAUAUUUCAGUUUGUUUGCAGGGAUGUAUUUCCUACGUCGAUUUCAAAUAAAAUUAAAUAGCUUUUUUUCUAA